GUCGGUGGGAUACUACCCUGGCUGUAUUGAAAUUCUAACCCGCGCCCCUGAUCGGGGCGGGAGACAGUGUCAGGUGGGCAGUUUGACUGGGGCGGUCGCCUCCUAAAAAGUAACGGAGGCGCCCAAAGGUUCCCUCAGAAUGGUUGGAAAUCAUUCGCAGAGUGUAAAGGCACAAGGGAGCUUGACUGCGAGACCUACAAGUCGAGCAGGGACGAAAGUCGGGCUUAGUGAUCCGGUGGUUCCGCAUGGAAGGGCCAUCGCUCAACGGAUAAAAGCUACCCCGGGGAUAACAGGCUUAUCUCCCCCAAGAGUCCACAUCGACGGGGAGGUUUGGCACCUCGAUGUCGGCUCAUCGCAUCCUGGGGCUGUAGUCGGUCCCAAGGGUUGGGCUGUUCGCCCAUUAAAGCGGUACGCGAGCUGGGUUCAGAACGUCGUGAGACAGUUCGGUCCCUAUCCGUCGUGGGCGCAGGAAAUUUGAGAGGAGCUGUCCUUAGUACGAGAGGACCGGGAUGGACGCACCGCUGGUGUACCAGUUGUCUUGCCAAAGGCAUCGCUGGGUAGCUAUGUGCGGAAGGGAUAAGUGCUGAAAGCAUCUAAGCAUGAAGCCCCCCUCGAGAUGAGAUUUCCCAUAGCGUCAAGCUAGUAAGAUCCCUGAAAGAUGAUCAGGUUGAUAGGUCAGAGGUGGAAGCGUGGCGACAUGUGGAGCUGACUGAUACUAAUCGAUCGAGGACUUAACCAAAAA
Molecule: ribosomal RNA, 742 nt
Filed under: Cytobacillus firmus
Lineage: Bacteria; Bacillati; Bacillota; Bacilli; Caryophanales; Bacillaceae
Description: partial 23S ribosomal RNA
Rfam family: Bacterial large subunit ribosomal RNA
Source: RNAcentral